This 468-nucleotide ribosomal RNA is filed under the name uncultured bacterium. Its description in RNAcentral is "partial 16S ribosomal RNA". It matches the Rfam family "Bacterial small subunit ribosomal RNA", at positions 28 to 507 of the family's 1533-position model. The record is from RNAcentral.
GACGAACGCUGGCGGCGUGCUUAACACAUGCAAGUCGAACGGAAAGGCCCUGCGUUUGUGGGGUGCUCGAGUGGCGAACGGGUGAGUAACACGAGAGUAACCUGCCCUUGACUUUGGGAUAACUUCAGGAAACUGGGGCUAAUACCGGAUAGGAGCUCCUGCUGCAUGGUGGGGGUUGGAAAGUUUCGGCGGUGGGGGAUGGACUCGCGGCUUAGCAGCUUGUUGGUGGGGUAGUGGCUUACCAAGGCUUUGACGGGUAGCCGGCCUGAGAGGGUGACCGGCCCCAUUGGGACUGCGCUACGGCCCAGACUCCUACGGUAGGCAGCAGUGGGGAAUAUUGCACAAUGCGCGGAAGCCUGAUGCAGCGACGCCGCGUGCGGGAUGACGGCCUUCGGGUUGUAAACCGCUUUCGCCUGUGACGAAGCGUGAGUGACGGUAAUGGGUGAAGAAGCACCGGCUAACUACGUG